CGUGCUUAACACAUGCAAGUCGAACGGAAAGGCCCUGCUUUUGUGGGGUGCUCGAGUGGCGAACGGGUGAGUAACACGUGAGUAACCUGCCCUUGACUUUGGGAUAACUUCAGGAAACUGGGGCUAAUACCGGAUAGGAGCUCCUGCUGCAUGGUGGGGGUUGGAAAGUUUCGGCGGUUGGGGAUGGACUCGCGGCUUAUCAGCUUGUUGGUGGGGUAGUGGCUUACCAAGGCUUUGACGGGUAGCCGGCCUGAGAGGGUGACCGGCCACAUUGGGACUGAGAUACGGCCCAGACUCCUACGGGAGGCAGCAGUGGGGAAUAUUGCACAAUGGGCGGAAGCCUGAUGCAGCAACGCCGCGUGCGGGAUGACGGCCUUCGGGUUGUAAACCGCUUUCGCCUGUGACGAAGCGUGAGUGACGGUAAUGGGUAAAGAAGCACCGGCUAACUACGUGCCAGCAGCCGCGGUGAUACGUAGGGUGCGAGCGUUGUCCGGAUUUAUUGGGCGUAAAGGGCUCGUAGGUGGUUGAUCGCGUCGGAAGUGUAAUCUUGGGGCUUAACCCUGAGCGUGCUUUCGAUACGGGUUGACUUGAGGAAGGUAGGGGAGAAUGGAAUUCCUGGUGGAGCGGUGGAAUGCGCAGAUAUCAGGAGGAACACCAGUGGCGAAGGCGGUUCUCUGGGCCUUUCCUGACGCUGAGGAGCGAAAGCGUGGGGAGCGAACAGGCUUAGAUACCCUGGUAGUCCACGCUGUAAACGGUGGGUACUAGGUGUGGGGUCCAUUCCACGGGUUCCGUGCCGUAGCUAACGCUUUAAGUACCCCGCCUGGGGAGUACGGCCGCAAGGCUAAAACUCAAAGGAAUUGACGGGGCCCCGCACAAGCGGCGGAGCAUGCGGAUUAAUUCGAUGCAACGCGUAGAACCUUACCUGGGUUUGACAUGGAUCGGGAGUGCUCAGAGAUGGGUGUGCCUCUUUUGGGGUCGGUUCACAGGUGGUGCAUGGCUGUCGUCAGCUCGUGUCGUGAGAUGUUGGGUUAAGUCCCGCAACGAGCGCAACCCUUGUUCACUGUUGCCAGCACGUUAUGGUGGGGACUCAGUGGAGACCGCCGGGGUCAACUCGGAGGAAGGUGGGGAUGACGUCAAGUCAUCAUGCCCCUUAUGUCCAGGGCUUCACGCAUGCUACAAUGGCUGGUACAGAGAGUGGCGAGCCUGUGAGGGUGAGCGAAUCUCGGAAAGCCGGUCUCAGUUCGGAUUGGGGUCUGCAACUCGACCUCAUGAAGUCGGAGUCGCUAGUAAUCGCAGAUCAGCAACGCUGCGGUGAAUACGUUCCCGGGGCUUGUACACACCGCCCGUCAAGUCAUGAAAGUUGGUAACACCCGAAGCCGGUGGCCUAACCGUUGUGGGGGAGCCGUCGAAGGUGGGACUGGUGAUUAGGACUAAAUC
RNAcentral lists this ribosomal RNA (1437 nucleotides) under uncultured organism. RNAcentral's name for it is "partial small subunit ribosomal RNA". It matches the Rfam family "Bacterial small subunit ribosomal RNA". The record is from RNAcentral.